Molecule: ribosomal RNA, 460 nt
Filed under: uncultured bacterium
Lineage: Bacteria
Description: partial 16S ribosomal RNA
Rfam family: Bacterial small subunit ribosomal RNA
Source: RNAcentral
CCUACGGGCGGCAGCAGUGAGGAAUAUUGGUCAAUGGACGAGCGUCUGAACCAGCCAUGUAGCGUGAAGGAUGACUGCCCUAUGGGUUGUAAACUUCUUUUAUAUGGGAAUAAAAUGUUCCACGUGUGGGAUUUUGUAUGUACCAUAUGAAUAAGGAUCGGUUAACCCCGUGCCAGCAGCCGCGGUAAUACGGAGGAUACGAGCGUUAUCCGGAUGUAUUGGGGUUAAAGGGAGCGUAGGUGGAUUGUUAAGUCAGUUGUGAAAGUUUGCGGCUCAACCGUAAAAUUGCAGUUGAAACUGGCAGUCUUGAGUACAGUAGAGGUGGGCGGAAUGCGUGGUGUAGCGGUGAAAUGCUUAGAUAUCACGAAGAACUCCGAUUGCGAAGGCAGUUCACUGGACUGCAACUGACACUGAGGCUCGAAAGUGUGGGUAUCAAACAGGAUUAGAUACCCUGGUAGUC